RNAcentral lists this long non-coding RNA (1470 nucleotides) under Lathyrus oleraceus (garden pea). RNAcentral's name for it is "Pisum sativum (pea) long non-coding RNA (PSAT_LNC022017)". The record is from RNAcentral. Lineage: Eukaryota; Viridiplantae; Streptophyta; Magnoliopsida; Fabales; Fabaceae.
AACUCACUAGCUAUCUCAUCAAUUUGCAAUUGUGCAAAUUAUUCAUUAUGGUUCGUCUAUUGGGAAAUUUUACAAAAGCAAGCCUAGUUCAAGCGUUUAAUUUCAUGUCAAACCUACUUAAAUCCUCCUUAAGGUCUAUUUUUUUUCUCUUCUCUUAUAAAGUUUUUUAUCUUAGCUUUUAACUUGAAUCAGAGAUCUUCAAAAAAAAAAUAUUUUUAUAUUUUAUUUUACAGUUUAUCUUUAUGCUUUUAGAAUGAAUAGGAUACUCAUGGACUGAUAUGUAUUGAUUUAUCUAGAUAGGUGUAAGUUAUUGAUUAAGAGUUAAAUCUCUCAUAAUAUUUAUUUAUAUUUUUAUAAUAUAUUAAUGUAAAUAAAUAGUUGAUAUAUAUAAAUCAACAAUUUUUAAAUAAAUUUUUUUAUAUUUUUAAAAAUAAUUUUAUGAAAAAAAAUGAAAAAAUAAAAGAGGUUAUUUCAAACUCAUGUGUUAUUAAAUAAAAUUAAAGAGUAAUGUUGACAUUUCAUAACUCAUUGUUAGUUUUAUUUUGAAAUAAUAAAAUCAUAUAUUUUUUAAAAGAUAUAUUUUAAAAAUAAUUUUUAAAAUGAUUUAUUUCAAAUUAUUUUUAGUAUGAUUCUAUAUGGAAAAAAUAAAUUUUAAAUUAAUUAAUUUUAUAAAAUUGAUUUAGACAAAAAAUUAAAUUGAAGAUUAAUUUUUUUUUGUUUAGAUAUAUUUAAAAUUGUGUUUAAAAUAUAUUAUUAAAUGGGCAUUUAAUGUUAUCUAAUGAUCAACUAGAUUGAAUAUGUACUUUAACUUUUACAAUAUAUAAAUAUACUAGAGUUGGGUUUCAAACAAUGAGAUGGGUUGUUAAGUCUGAACAAAAAUUGAUCAGAGAUUCAUUUUUCUUUUUUAAAGAAAUAUUAAAGUUUAAUAACUAGUAUAAAUUAUAAGCUAAUUAUUUUAUAUAUAUGGAUCCAGGAUGCGUGGUGGACCAAAAAAUUCAGGCCUCAGCGAAGGAGAUGGUGGACAAAUUAAUAGGAAGGGAAAAAACAAGGAAACAAAAAAGUAAGGAAACCAACUCCAAAAAAAUAAAAAUAAAAUAACUAGUCUAUAUCUAUGGAAAUGGUGAUGUUUGUGAUUUUUAAAUAAGAGUAAUUAUUUGAGUGUUCUCAUAGACAAGUUGAUUAAAAAGAAGAAGAAGAAAAAAAAGUGUAGACCCGGCUUUGUCAUGUAUAAUUGUGCUUCAUAUGUGAUAAAAUGUGUGAAUUUAAUUUUGCAUUGUAAAUUAAUUAACUAAUUAAUCCUUGCAAGGCAUAUGGCACUCUCAUAUUUCUAAAAGCUCAUGCAUGCAUGCAGAGCUCAUUUUACCGUGCAAUAUUCCUCACACGUGUGUAUGGUAAUCUAUGCUUAUAAACUUUUAAACAUACAAAUAUAUGGUGCAAUACAUCACAUGCUUAAACAUAAAUGUUUAUUUU